AGAGUUUGAUCCUGGCUCAGGAUGAACGCCGGCGGUGUGCCUAAUACAUGCAAGUCGUACGCACUGGCCCAACUGAUUGAUGGUGCUUGCACCUGAUUGACGAUGGAUCACCAGUGAGUGGCGGACGGGUGAGUAACACGUAGGAAACCUGCCUCGGAGCGGGGGAUAACAUUUGGAAACAGAUGCUAAUACCGCAUAACAACAAAAGCCACAUGGCUUUUGUUUGAAAGAUGGCUUUGGCUAUCACUCUGGGAUGGACCUGCGGUGCAUUAGCUAGUUGGUAAGGUAACGGCUUACCAAGGCAAUGAUGCAUAGCCGAGUUGAGAGACUGAUCGGCCACAAUGGAACUGAGACACGGUCCAUACUCCUACGGGAGGCAGCAGUAGGGAAUCUUCCACAAUGGGCGCAAGCCUGAUGGAGCAACACCGCGUGAGUGAAGAAGGGUUUCGGCUCGUAAAGCUCUGUUGUUGGAGAAGAACGUGCGUGAGAGUAACUGUUCACGCAGUGACGGUAUCCAACCAGAAAGUCACGGCUAACUACGUGCCAGCAGCCGCGGUAAUACGUAGGUGGCAAGCGUUAUCCGGAUUUAUUGGGCGUAAAGCGAGCGCAGGCGGUUGCUUAGGUCUGAUGUGAAAGCCUUCGGCUUAACCGAAGAAGUGCAUCGGAAACCGGGCGACUUGAGUGCAGAAGAGGACAGUGGAACUCCAUGUGUAGCGGUGGAAUGCGUAGAUAUAUGGAAGAACACCAGUGGCGAAGGCGGCUGUCUGGUCUGCAACUGACGCUGAGGCUCGAAAGCAUGGGUAGCGAACAGGAUUAGAUACCCUGGUAGUCCAUGCCGUAAACGAUGAGUGCUAGGUGUUUGGAGGGUUUCCGCCCUUCAGUGCCGGAGCUAACGCAUUAAGCACUCCGCCUGGGGAGUACGACCGCAAGGUUGAAACUCAAAGGAAUUGACGGGGGCCCGCACAAGCGGUGGAGCAUGUGGUUUAAUUCGAAGCUACGCGAAGAACCUUACCAGGUCUUGACAUCUUGCGCUAACCUUAGAGAUAAGGCGUUCCCUUCGGGGACGCAAUGACAGGUGGUGCAUGGUCGUCGUCAGCUCGUGUCGUGAGAUGUUGGGUUAAGUCCCGCAACGAGCGCAACCCUUGUUACUAGUUGCCAGCAUUAAGUUGGGCACUCUAGUGAGACUGCCGGUGACAAACCGGAGGAAGGUGGGGACGACGUCAGAUCAUCAUGCCCCUUAUGACCUGGGCUACACACGUGCUACAAUGGACGGUACAACGAGUCGCAAGCUCGCGAGAGUAAGCUAAUCUCUUAAAGCCGUUCUCAGUUCGGACUGUAGGCUGCAACUCGCCUACACGAAGUCGGAAUCGCUAGUAAUCGCGGAU
Molecule: ribosomal RNA, 1385 nt
Filed under: uncultured bacterium
Lineage: Bacteria
Description: bacterial SSU rRNA
Rfam family: Bacterial small subunit ribosomal RNA
Source: RNAcentral